GGUUAACGCUGGCGGCGUGCCUUACACAUGCAAGUCGAACGGGGCUAUCAGCGAUGGUAGCUUAGUGGCGAACGGGUGAGGAAGACGCAGGGACCUACCGACCAGAGGGGGAUACCCGCUGGAAACGGCGGAUAAAACCGCAUACGCCCGGGUGAAAGCCCGGGGAAAAGCACUACGGUGUUACUGGACGAGGGACCUGCGGCCCAUCAGGUAGUUGGGGAGGUAACGGCUCACCAAGCCGACGACGGGUAUCUGGCGUGAGAGCGCGAACAGGCACAAGGACACUGAGAGACGGGUCCUACUCCUACGGGAGGCAGCAGUGGGGAAUAUUGGACAAUGGGCGAAAGCCUGAUCCAGCGACGCCGCGUGUCGGAAGGAGUCCUUCGGAGUGUAACGAACUUUGGUUGGAGACGAAUAAGACAGCUCAGGAAGUAGGGCGUGUGAUGACGGUAUCCAUGGAAGUAAGACCCGGCCGUAACUACGUGCCAGCAGCCGCGGUAAACUAGUAGUCGU
Molecule: ribosomal RNA, 513 nt
Filed under: uncultured bacterium
Lineage: Bacteria
Description: bacterial SSU rRNA
Rfam family: Bacterial small subunit ribosomal RNA
Source: RNAcentral